Long non-coding RNA from Hemicordylus capensis (graceful crag lizard), 1084 nucleotides. RefSeq lists it as uncharacterized. The record is from RefSeq and is a predicted model, not a curated record. Lineage: Eukaryota; Metazoa; Chordata; Lepidosauria; Squamata; Cordylidae. The transcript is spliced from 2 exons.
AUUUAUUAUCUGUUUCCUCAGGUCUGCACAAUGUGACUCGUGAACAUGUGACAAAAGCUCAGGUUCCAAAAUUACCUAGGUGCACCUCUGGCUGCAGCCUCCACUCUAAAAAUAGUGAAGAUCACUGUAUACAAGUAUUUAGGCACUCCAGACCUACUGAUGACCACAUCGAAAAGUAUUUGGGCUGCAAUUGAAGCGGAAUUGGUUCUGGUGAGGAUAGCUUCUAUCCAUUUUGAAAAGUGAUCCAGAAUUACAAGACAGAACUGAUUUCCUUUGGCCAUUCAAGGCAUCGUCUCUAUGUAGUCCAAUUGAACGUGGCUGAUUACGGAGUCUACAUGCUGGUGUCUGAUGGGGGCUUUAAUUGUUUGGCAGUCAGCGUUAACUCUGGCACUUGACAAACAACUUUCACAAAAUGCAUCACCCAUACCAGGCAUGGGCAUAACUAUGAUUAGGCAAGGGGAGACAGUUGUUUGGGGCCCCCACUGCCUCGAGGGCCCCCCGCAGAGACACGUCACAUGACUCCCCAUUGCCCACCUGCCCAUCCCCAAGGCCCCUCAGCCACUUGCCCUGUUCACCCUCUCUCCUGCUUGCCCUCCUGGUCGGAAAUCCAAGCAGCCUGCAAGCUGCUAGAGCUCCUCUCUCUGCCUCUCAGCUGAUUGGCGGGUGGGCAGGGCUUCCAGAGAGGCCUCUGUGUAGGCCUCACUGAAGCUGAAGCUCUCCGAGCAAGCAAGGAAGGAGGCAGGCAGAGUGGCCAUCGCUGGCUGCCCUUACCCACCAGAGUUUUCUACAGACCCUCUGCCCAGCCCAGCCCAGCCCAACCCAGCCUUGGCCAGGAAUGGAGGUAGAAAAUGAAUCCCUUUUUAUUUAUUUUGUGGUUACCCCCACCCCCUGGAUAUAUAGGGAUCUGCUUGCCAUAGGGCUUUGAUAUGGGGGCGGAGGACUGAGAAGUCUCUGAAUAUUUAAUUUAGAACAGAUUGGAAAUUUUGCUGGCUUUUAAAAAAAGCUAUCUAAAAAGUCCUAUAAGUGGCUUGUUUCAGGGCAGAAAAUUACAAAAACUUCUGGAAUAAACAAUAUUAUAUUUAUA